GAGCAAUGAUUAAACCUGUGCUAAUGUGACUGGUUGGGUCCGUCACAGCUGACUGAUCUCUUGAUUAGAUCACAUCAGCACACGUGAGCUC
This is a small nucleolar RNA of Panicum virgatum (switchgrass), 91 nucleotides long. RefSeq annotates it as small nucleolar RNA snoR114. Lineage: Eukaryota; Viridiplantae; Streptophyta; Magnoliopsida; Poales; Poaceae. The record is from RefSeq and is a predicted model, not a curated record. The transcript has a single exon.